UGCCAGCAGCCGCGGUAAUACGUAGGUGGCGAGCGUUGUCCGGAAUUAUUGGGCGUAAAGAGCGCGUAGGCGGGAUGAUAAGUCUGUUGUAAAAGUGCGGGGCUCAACCCCGUAAGGUCAAUGGAAACUGUCAUUCUUGAGUGCAGGAGAGGAAAGUGGAAUUCCCAGUGUAGCGGUGAAAUGCGUAGAUAUUGGGAGGAACACCAGUGGCGAAGGCGACUUUCUGGACUGUGUCUGACGCUGAGGCGCGAAAGCUAGGGGAGCGAACGGGAUUAGAUACCCCGGUAGUCCUAGCCGUAAACGAUGGGUACUAGGUGUAGGAGGUAUCGACCCCUUCUGUGCCGGAGUUAACGCAAUAAGUACCCCGCCUGGGGAGUACGGCCGCAAGGUUGAAACUUAAAGGAAUUGGCGGGGGA
This 416-nucleotide ribosomal RNA is filed under the name uncultured bacterium. RNAcentral's name for it is "bacterial SSU rRNA". It matches the Rfam family "Bacterial small subunit ribosomal RNA", at positions 506 to 920 of the family's 1533-position model. The record is from RNAcentral.